RNAcentral lists this ribosomal RNA (941 nucleotides) under uncultured archaeon. Its description in RNAcentral is "bacterial SSU rRNA". It matches the Rfam family "Archaeal small subunit ribosomal RNA", at positions 1 to 922 of the family's 1478-position model. The record is from RNAcentral.
UUCCGGUUGAUCCUGCCGGACCUUACUGCUAUCGGGGUGGGACUAAGACAUGCGAGUCGAGCGCUCUAGCUAUGUUGAGACGCGGCAGACGGCUCAGUAACACGUGGCUAACCUACCCUCAGGACGAGGAUAAACCCGGGAAACUGGGGCUAAUACUCGAUAGGUGAGAAUGUCUGGAAUGAUUUCUCACUCAAAGGGCCUUGGGAACAUGCUUCCAAUGUCGCCUGGGGAUGGGGCCGCGUCCGAUCAGGUUGUUGGUGAGGUAAUGGCUCACCAAGCCUAUAACCGGUACGGGCCGUGAGAGCGGUAGCCCGGAGAUGGGUACUGAGACAAGGACCCAGGCCCUACGGGGCGCAGCAGUCGCGAAAACUCCGCAAUGCACGAAAGUGUGACGGGGCUACCCCGAGUGCCAUCCGCUGAGGGUGGCUUUUCUUUGGUAUAACUAGCCGAGGGAAUAAGGAGAGGGCAAGACUGGUGUCAGCCGCCGCGGUAAUACCAGCUCUCCGAGUGGUAGGGAUGAUUAUUGGGCUUAAAGCGUCCGUAGCCGGCUUAGCAAGUCUCCUGUUAAAUUCAGCGACCUAAUCGUUGAGCCGCGGGAGAUACUACUAGGCUAGGAGGCGGGAGAGGUCGACGGUACUUCUGGGGUAGGGGUGAAAUCCUAUAAUCCCGGGAGGACCACCAGUGGCGAAGGCUGUCGACUAGAACGCGCUCGACGGUGAGGGACGAAAGCUGGGGGAGCGAACCGGAUUAGAUACCCGGGUAGUCCCAGCCGUAAACGAUGCGGGCUAGGUGUUGGAAUGGCUACGUGCCAUUUCAGUGCCGCAGGGAAGCCAUUAAGCCCGCCGCCUGGGGAGUACGGCCGCAAGGCUGAAACUUAAAGGAAUUGGCGGGGGAGCACCACAAGGCGUGAAGCUUGCGGUUCAAUUGGAUUCAACGCCGGG